RNAcentral lists this ribosomal RNA (1528 nucleotides) under marine metagenome. Its description in RNAcentral is "bacterial LSU rRNA". It matches the Rfam family "Bacterial large subunit ribosomal RNA", at positions 1153 to 2808 of the family's 2925-position model. The record is from RNAcentral.
GCGUGGUAGCGGAGCGUAGUGUGAUAUAGCACCACGCCUCUUUAGCAAUUCUUUUGAAUUGCCUUGGAGGCUUAGGUGCUUUCUGUGAAGCCGGGCUGUAAGGCAUCCGGUGGAGAGAUCACUAGUGAGAAUGAUGACAUGAGUAGCGACAAAGAGUGUGAGAGACACUCUCGCCGAAAGUCCAAGGGUUCCUGCUUAAAGCUAAUCUGAGCAGGGUAAGCCGGCCCCUAAGUCGAGGCAGAAAUGCGUAGACGAUGGGAACUAGGUUAAUAUUCCUAGGCCAGGAGGAUGUGACGGAUCAUGAAGGUUGUUCACCCUUAUUGGAUUGGGUGGGCCGCUUAUUGGUUCCUGGAAAUAGCCCUCCAUCAGACCGUACCCUAAACCGACACAGGUGGACUGGUAGAGAAUACCAAGGCGCUUGAGAGAACUAUGUUGAAGGAACUCGGCAAAAUACCUCCGUAAGUUCGCGAGAAGGAGGCCCAGUUCCUAGGCAACUAGGGGCUGGGGGCACAAACCAGGGGGUGGCGACUGUUUACUAAAAACACAGGGCUCUGCGAAGUCGCAAGACGACGUAUAGGGUCUGACGCCUGCCCGGUGCCUGAAGGUUAAAAGGAGGGGUGAGAGCUCUGAAUUGAAGCCCAGGUAAACGGCGGCCGUAACUAUAACGGUCCUAAGGUAGCGAAAUUCCUUGUCGGGUAAGUUCCGACCUGCACGAAUGGCGUAACGACUUCCCCGCUGUCUCCAACAUAGACUCAGCGAAAUUGAAUUGCCUGUCAAGAUGCAGGCUUCCCGCGGUUAGACGGAAAGACCCCGUGCACCUUUACUACAGCUUCGCACUGGCAUCAGGCACAACAUGUGCAGGAUAGGUGGUGGGCUUUGAAGCAGAAACGCCAGUUUCUGUGGAGCCUCCCUUGAGAUACCACCCUUGUUCUGCUUGAUGUCUAACCGCGGUCCGUUAUCCGGAUCCGGGACCCUGCGUGGCGGGUAGUUUGACUGGGGCGGUCGCCUCCCAAAGAGUAACGGAGGCGCGCGAAGGUUGGCUCAGAGCGGUCGGAAAUCGCUCGUUGAGUGCAAUGGCAGAAGCCAGCCUGACUGCGAGACUGACAAGUCGAGCAGAGACGAAAGUCGGCCAUAGUGAUCCGGUGGUCCCGAGUGGAAGGGCCAUCGCUCAACGGAUAAAAGGUACGCCGGGGAUAACAGGCUGAUACUGCCCAAGAGUCCAUAUCGACGGCAGUGUUUGGCACCUCGAUGUCGGCUCAUCUCAUCCUGGGGCUGGAGCAGGUCCCAAGGGUAUGGCUGUUCGCCAUUUAAAGAGGUACGUGAGCUGGGUUUAGAACGUCGUGAGACAGUUCGGUCCCUAUCUGCCGUGGGUGUAGGAUACUUGAGAGGAGUUGCCCCUAGUACGAGAGGACCGGGGUGAACGAUCCACUGGUGGACCUGUUGUUGCGCCAGCAGCAGUGCAGGGUAGCUAUGAUCGGACAGGAUAACCGCUGAAGGCAUCUAAGCGGGAAGCCCCCCUCAAAACAAG